GAUUUUUGGUUAAGUUACUAAGGGCAUAUGGUGGAUGCCUUGGCACGAGAAGUCGAUGAAGGACGUGGUAAGCUGCGAUAAGCUCCGGGGAGAUGCAAACGAUCUAAGAUCCGGAGAUUUCCGAAUGGGAUAACCCAUCCCGCCCGAGCGGGAUACCUCCUGCUGAACACAUAGGCAGGAAGGAGACAACAGAGGGAAUUGAAACAUCUCAGUACCUCUAGGAAAAGAAAGCCAAUGCGAUUCCCGAAGUAGCGGCGAGCGAAACGGGAACAGUCUAAAUCUACUGCAUGUCAAGCCUGCGUGCGUUGUGCAGUAGAGGUUGCGGGAAGGAACUGGAUAGAGAUGCAGCUCUGUCGGGAAGUCAAAAAACAUUAUCUUAGUCGAACCGAUCUGGAAAGCCGGCCAAAGAAGGUGAUAGCCCUGUAGGCGAAAAGAUAAUGUCUUCCUCGGUUCUUCUCCCAAGUACUGCGGGACACGUGAAAUCCCGUGGGAAUCCGGGUGGACCAUCAUCCAAGACUAAAUACUCUCUCGUGACCGAUAGUGAACCAGUACCGUGAGGGAAAGGUGAAAAGCACCCCUGGCGGGGAGUGAAAUAGUACCUGAAACCGUAUGCCUACAAGCAGUGGGAGUCCCGCUUCGGCGGGAUGACCGCGUGCCUUUUGCAUAAUGAGCUGGCGAGUUACUCUAUGCAGCAAGGUUAAUCUGUUUAGCAGAGCAGCCGAAGCGAAAGCAAGUCCAAAUAGGGCGAUUGAGUUGCAUAGAGUAGACGCGAAACCAGGUGAUCUACCCAUGGCCAGAGUGAAGCGACCGUAACAGGUCGUGGAGGCUCGAACGCACGGAAGUUGAAAAUUCUGGCGAUGAGCUGUGGGUAGGGGUGAAAGGCUAAUCAAACUUGGUAAUAGCUCGUUCUCCUCGAAAUAGCUUUAGGGCUAGCCUCAUAGGAGAGUGACGGAGGUAGAGCACUGGAUGGACUAGGGCUCUCACAAGGGUACCAAACCCAACCAAACUACGAAUGCCGUACACUUGCUCUAUGGGAGUCAGGCGAGGGGGGAUAAGCUUCUUCGCCAAAAGGGAAACAACCCAGAUCAUCAGCUAAGGUCCCUAAGUGUAGACUGAGUGAGAAAGGAUGUGAAAUCGCUUAGACAACCAGGAUGUUGGCUUAGAAGCAGCCAUCAUUUAAAGAGUGCGUAAUAGCUCACUGGUCAAGCGCUUUUGCGCCGAUAAUAAUCGGGACUAAGUCUACCACCGAAGCUGUGGGCUCAAUCGUAAGAUUGAGCGGUAGAGGAGCGUUCCACUAACCUGCGAAGGUACACCGUCAGGUGUGCUGGAGGACGUGGAAAUGAUUAUGCCAGCAUAAGUAGCGAUAAUCCCGGCGAGAACCCGGGACACCGAAAAUCUAAGGUUUCCUGAGUAAAGUCAAUCUGCUCAGGGUUAGUCGGUCCCUAAGCCGAGGCCGAAUGGCGUAGGUGAUGGAAAACAGGUGAAUAUUCCUGUACCGUCUUGAGAUCGUCUGAACGAUGGGGUAACGCAGAAGGGAACGUCAGCCAGGCGUUGGAUGUCCUGGUCUAAGCUGGUAGGAGGAUCGGGUAGGUAAAUCCGCUCGAUCACGACUCCGAGAAGCGAAUGGGAAAUGCGGCUUUUGCCAAACCAACUGACAUGUACCAUGCUGCCAAGAAAAACCUCUAAGUGAGAUCGAUAGGCGACCGUACCGCAAACCGACACAGGUAGAUGAGGAGAAAAUCCUAAGGUGCUCGAGCGAGCUCUGGUUAAGGAACUAGGCAAACUAACCCCGUAACUUCGGAAGAAGGGGUGUCCUGCUUGGUCAGGUCCCUCGCGGACCAAAGCUAAGCGGGAUCGCAGAGAAAUGGCCUGGGCGACUGUUUACUAAAAACACAGGUCUGUGCGAAGUCGUCAAGACGACGUAUACGGACUGACACCUGCCCGGUGCUGGAAGGUUAAGAGGAGAGGUUAUCCCGAGCAAUCGGGAGAAGCUUUGAAUCGAAGCCCCAGUAAACGGCGGCCGUAACUAUAACGGUCCUAAGGUAGCGAAAUUCCUUGUCGGGUAAGUUCCGACCUGCACGAAUGGUGUAACCCACAACGGGACGGAAAGACCCCAUGAACCUUUACUAUAGCUUAGCACUGUGUUUCGGUAUUGCAUGUGUAGGAUAGGUGGGAGACGUCGAUCCGGCGGCGCUAGCCGUCGGGGAGUCAACCUUGAAAUACCACCCUUGUUAUAUUGAGACACUAACCUGGCACCCUGAUCGGGUGUAGGGACCCUGCUAGGUGGGUAGUUUGACUGGGGCGGUCGCCUCCCAAACUGUAACGGAGGCGCCCAAAGGUUCCCUCAGCAUGGUCGGCAAUCAUGCGUAGAGUGCAAGCGCAUAAGGGAGCUUAACUGUGAGACUAACAGGUCGAACAGGUGCGAAAGCAGGGGCUAGUGAUCCGGCGGUAGUGUAUGGAAAUGCCGUCGCUCAACGGAUAAAAGGUACUCUGGGGAUAACAGGCUUAUCGGGCCCAAGAGUUCACAUCGACGGCCCGGUUUGGCACCUCGAUGUCGGCUCAUCGCAUCCUGGGGCUGGAGAAGGUCCCAAGGGUUUGGCUGUUCGCCAAUUAAAGCGGUACGUGAGCUGGGUUUAGAACGUCGUGAGACAGUUCGGUCCCUAUCUGUUGUGGGCGUAGGAAAUUUGAGGGAUGCUGCUCGUAGUACGAGAGGACCCGAGUGGACGGACCUCCAGUAUACCAGUUGUCAUGCCAAUGGCAUAGCUGGGUAGCUGUGUCCGGAUGGGAUAAGCGCUGAAGGCAUCUAAGCGCGAAACCCUUCCCAAGAUGAGAUUUCCCUGGCCGUAAGGCCACUAAAGGCUCCUCGCAGAUGACGAGGUCGAUAGGUCACAGGUGCAAGAAUGGCAACAUUUUUAGCCGAGUGAUACUAAUCAGCCGUGCGGCUUAACCAAUUU
Molecule: ribosomal RNA, 2954 nt
Filed under: Candidatus Zhuqueibacterota bacterium
Lineage: Bacteria; Pseudomonadati
Description: candidate division KSB1 bacterium 23S ribosomal RNA
Rfam family: Bacterial large subunit ribosomal RNA
Source: RNAcentral